UACGAAGGGUGCGAGCGUUAUUCGGAAUUACUGGGCGUAAAGCGUGCGCAGGCGGUUGUGCAAGACAGAUGUGAAAUCCCCGGGCUUAACCUGGGAACUGCAUUUGUGACUGCACAGCUGGAGUGCGGCAGAGGGGGAUGGAAUUCCGCGUGUAGCAGUGAAAUGCGUAGAUAUGCGGAGGAACACCGAUGGCGAAGGCAAUCCCCUGGGCCUGCACUGACGCUCAUGCACGAAAGCGUGGGGAGCAAACAGG
Molecule: ribosomal RNA, 253 nt
Filed under: uncultured bacterium
Lineage: Bacteria
Description: partial 16S ribosomal RNA
Rfam family: Bacterial small subunit ribosomal RNA
Source: RNAcentral